UACGAAGGGCCCGAGCGUUGCGCGGAAUCACUGGGCUUAAAGGGUGCGCAGGCGGAAGCAUAAGUGUCUUGUGAAAGGCCGCGGCUCAACCACGGCAUUGCAGGGCAUACUAUGCUUCUUGAGGCCGGUAGGGGCUGUCGGAACUCUAGGUGUAGCGGUGAAAUGCGUAGAUAUCUAGAGGAACACCGAAGGCGAAGGCAGACAGCUGGGCCGGUACUGACGCUGAGGCACGAAAGCGUGGGGAGCGAACAGG
This 253-nucleotide unclassified non-coding RNA is filed under the name uncultured Phycisphaeraceae bacterium. Its description in RNAcentral is "contains 16S-23S intergenic spacer region". It matches the Rfam family "Bacterial small subunit ribosomal RNA", at positions 524 to 776 of the family's 1533-position model. Lineage: Bacteria; Pseudomonadati; Planctomycetota; Phycisphaerae; Phycisphaerales; Phycisphaeraceae. The record is from RNAcentral.